AUAAUAAUUUGUCUUUUAAUUAAAGGCUGGAAUGAAAGAUUGAACGAGAUAUAAACUGUCUUUUUUUAAAUAAUAUUUUAAUUUAAUAUUUAAGUCAAAAAGCUUAAAUUUUUUUAAAGGACGAGAAGACCCUAUAGAGUUUUAUAAUAAAAUUUUUAUUUUAUUUUAAAUUUAUUUUAUAAUUUUUUUAUUAUUUUAUUGGGGUGAUAAAGAAAUUUAAUAAACUUUUUUAUUUAAUUUUACAUUAAUUUAUGAAUUUUUGAUCUUAAAUUUUAGAUUAUUAGAUUAAAUUACCUUAGGGAUAACAGCGUUAUUUUUUUUAGAGUACUUAUCGAUAUUAAAGAUUGC
This 348-nucleotide ribosomal RNA is filed under the name Dolerus sp. Sus5. RNAcentral describes it as "partial 16S ribosomal RNA". Lineage: Eukaryota; Metazoa; Arthropoda; Insecta; Hymenoptera; Tenthredinidae. The record is from RNAcentral.